This 861-nucleotide ribosomal RNA is filed under the name Triparma pacifica. RNAcentral's name for it is "partial Bacterial large subunit ribosomal RNA". It matches the Rfam family "Bacterial large subunit ribosomal RNA", at positions 817 to 1747 of the family's 2925-position model. The record is from RNAcentral. Lineage: Eukaryota; Bolidophyceae; Parmales; Triparmaceae.
AGGGGUGAAAGGCCAAUCAAACUCAGAGAUAGCUGGUUUUCUGCGAAAUCUAUUUAAGUAGAGCGUUUAAAAACUCUUUUUGAGGUAGAGGACUAAUUGAUUGAUGGGGACGUUAAGUCUUACUGACCUCAGGUAAACUCCGAAUGCAAAAAAGUAAAGAUUUUUAAGCAGACAGACGGUGAGUGCUAAGAUUCAUCUGUCAAGAGGGAAACAGCCCAGAUUGUUCGUUAAGGUCCAUAAAUGUAGUUAAGUGAUAAAGGAAGUGAAAAAGUUAAAACAACCAAAAUGUAGGCUUGGAAGCAGCCAUCAUCUAAGGAAAGCGUAAUAGCUCAUUGGUCUAGCUUUUUUGCACCAAUAAUGUUUUGGGCUAAAACUACUUACCGAAACGGCAGACUUUUAAAUAUAUUAGAAGUGGUAGCAGAACUAUUUGUAUGUUAAUGAAGCAAAUUAUUGAUAAUUUGUGGAGAUAUCAAAAGUGAGAAUGUUGACAUAAGUAACGAAAAACAAUGUAAAAAUUAUAUUUAUUUAAUAAUAAAACAUUGUCGCCGUAAGUCCAAGGUUUUUGAGGGAAGGCUAAUCCUCCUUAAAGAAUGAAAAAUUCAAAAAAAAACGGUCCCUAAGAUAAUAGCGAGAGCUUUAGUUGAUGGGUUAAUUUAAUUUAUAAUUGCUUAUGACAAAUUUUGUAAAUAAUACGCUAUUUUUUAAAAUCAAAAAGCGGUUGUUGAAAAAUUUCAAGAAAAAGUAGCAGUUUUAAACCGUACUGUAAACCGACACAGGUGGACGAGUAAAGUAUACUCAGGCGUUUGAGAAAACCAUGUUAAAGGAACUCGGCAAAUUGACUCCGUAACUUCGGGAGAAGGA